AUUCCAUGUCUCCUUAACCCUUCGGGGUAUUGGAGACGCGGAGUUUUCUGUGAAGCCGGCGCGUGAGCGAUCCGGUGGAGAGAUCACUAGUGAGAAUGAUGACAUGAGUAGCGACAAAGAGUGUGAGAGACACUCUCGCCGAAAGUCCAAGGGUUCCUGCUUAAAGCUAAUCUGAGCAGGGUAAGCCGACCCCUAAGGCGAGGCCGAAAGGCGUAGUCGAUGGGAACCAGGUUAAUAUUCCUGGGCCAGAUGGAAGUGACGGAUUUCGAGGGUAGU
This 276-nucleotide non-coding RNA is filed under the name Sulfitobacter sp. HI0023. RNAcentral describes it as "Oceanibulbus sp. HI0023 Bacterial large subunit ribosomal RNA". It matches the Rfam family "Bacterial large subunit ribosomal RNA", at positions 1217 to 1474 of the family's 2925-position model. The record is from Rfam by way of RNAcentral. Lineage: Bacteria; Pseudomonadati; Pseudomonadota; Alphaproteobacteria; Rhodobacterales; Roseobacteraceae.